Molecule: ribosomal RNA, 253 nt
Filed under: uncultured bacterium
Lineage: Bacteria
Description: partial 16S ribosomal RNA
Rfam family: Bacterial small subunit ribosomal RNA
Source: RNAcentral
UACGAAGGGUGCAAGCGUUACUCGGAAUUACUGGGCGUAAAGCGUGCGUAGGUGGUUUGUUAAGUCUGAUGUGAAAGCCCUGGGCUCAACCUGGGAAUUGCAUUGGAUACUGGCAGGCUAGAGUGCGGUAGAGGGUAGUGGAAUUCCCGGUGUAGCAGUGAAAUUCGUAGAUAUCGGGUGGAACACCUGUGGCGAAGGCGGCCAUCUGGACGUUCACUGACGCUGAGACGCGAAAGCGUGGGGAGCAAACAGG